UGGAGAGUUUGAUCCUGGCUCAGGACGAACGCUGGCGGGGUGCUUAACACAUGCAAGUCGAACGGAAAGGCCCGUUUUNGGGGGUGCUCGAGUGGCGAACGGGUGAGUAACACGUGGGUGAUCUGCCCUGCACUUCGGGAUAAGCUUGGGAAACUGGGUCUAAUACCGGAUAGGACCAUGGGAUGCAUGUCUUGUGGUGGAAAGCUUUUUGCGGUGUGGGAUGGGCCCGCGGCCUAUCAGCUUGUUGGUGGGGUGAUGGCCUACCAAGGCGACGACGGGGUAGCCGGCCUGAGAGGGUGUCCGGCCACACUGGGGACUGAGAUACGGCCCAGACUCCUACGGGAGGCAGCAGUGGGGAAUAUUGCACAAUGGGCGCAAGCCUGAUGCAGCGACGCCGCGUGGGGGAUGACGGCCUUCGGGUUGUAAACCUCUUUCACCAUCGACGAAGCUGCCGGUUUUCCGGUGGUACGGUAGGUGAGAAGAAGCACCGGCCAACUACGUGCCAGCAGCCGCGGUA
Molecule: ribosomal RNA, 517 nt
Filed under: Mycobacterium sp. N083
Lineage: Bacteria; Bacillati; Actinomycetota; Actinomycetes; Mycobacteriales; Mycobacteriaceae
Description: bacterial SSU rRNA
Rfam family: Bacterial small subunit ribosomal RNA
Source: RNAcentral